This 819-nucleotide long non-coding RNA is filed under the name Heterocephalus glaber (naked mole-rat). RNAcentral describes it as "lncRNA (ENSHGLG00000049690.1)". The record is from RNAcentral. Lineage: Eukaryota; Metazoa; Chordata; Mammalia; Rodentia; Bathyergidae.
UGGAGGCUUCCAGAACAGAGGUUGGAUGAAGAUCUAAGGAGGAAUUGUGGUGGUGGGAACAAAGUUGUCAGAACUCUGAGUGAUCCCUGUGCUUCUGUAGCUGGUCCCUCUGUCUGCGAGCUGGGUCAUGCCGAAUGCCAGCCAUGGUCUCACACAUCUGUCUCCUCACUAGACAGCAAGUGCUGCUACAAGUUGUGCAACGUGCUUAAACAUCACACGCCGAACAGGAGGCAGAGCCUGUCUAACUUCAAAGCACACACUCUUCACUCUGUUAAACUGAUGGAGGGGAAAAUGAACAAAACCAAGUGCCGGCUGCGUCCAGGCUGAGCUGGAGCAGGAAGGCCAUUACUGGAGAUCCCUGACUCCUGCCCAGCAUAUGAUGGAGGCCUGAGAAAAAAAUACACUAAGAGACAGAACUAAGAGAGAGACAGCAAGGUGCCAGGACAACCAAUGCCAGUGGAACCAUCAAAGGAAGGCUUCUUGUCCAAGUCCUCUGAAAAUGCACAUAGUACAUUUUUUGGACCUGCACAGAAGAACCUGCAGAAUUGUUAUACUCAGGAAGUGGGGAGCAACUCAUUCUACGGCUUUCUGCUCCAGGACUACCCUCGACAUUCAGAAUAAAUGCCACUUUUGCUUAAUUCUUAAACAGAUGGGACAUGGAUCCCAUUGUGGGGCUCCACUCUCAAGACCCAGCCUGACCCUCCUCAGCCAUCUAAGGCCCACGUCCACCAAUAUCAGACUGGGACUAGGAUUUCAACCCAAGAAUUUUAGAGGGGAUACAACAUGGUACAAUGAAAUGGCGCUCUGGAGGCUGCUGGU